GACGAACGCUGGCGGCGUGCUUAACACGUGCAAGUCGAACGGAAAGGCCCUUCGGGGUACUCGAGUGGCGAACGGGUGAGUAACACGUGGGUGAUCUGCCCUGCACUUUGGGAUAAGCCUGGGAAACUGGGUCUAAUACCGAAUAGGACCACGCGCUUCAUGGUGUGUGGUGGAAAGCUUUUGCGGUGUGGGAUGGGCCCGCGGCCUAUCAGCUUGUUGGCGGGGUAAUGGCCUACCAAGGCGACGACGGGUAGCCGGCCUGAGAGGGUGACCGGCCACACUGGGACUGAGAUACGGCCCAGACUCCUACGGGAGGCAGCAGUGGGGAAUAUUGCACAAUGGGCGCAAGCCUGAUGCAGCGACGCCGCGUGAGGGAUGACGGCCUUCGGGUUGUAAACCUCUUUCACCAGGGACGAAGCGUAAGUGACGGUACCUGGAGAAGAAGCACCGGCCAACUACGU
Molecule: ribosomal RNA, 461 nt
Filed under: uncultured bacterium
Lineage: Bacteria
Description: partial 16S ribosomal RNA
Rfam family: Bacterial small subunit ribosomal RNA
Source: RNAcentral